AUGAUGGACUUCUGAAUGAAGUCUUCCAUCUUUCCUUCGGUGAUUUGCGCCAGGGGUUCAAUUUCCAUCUACUUGGUGAAAUAGUCCACCGUGACGACUAAGAAUUUUUUUAUAUCAGUUGCCAGAGGGAAGGGAUCGAGUAUGUCGAUUCUUCACUGUGCGAAUAGUUAUGGUACAAUGAUUGAUGUCAAUUGACUUGUCGAUUGAUACUGUAUGUUGGCAUACCUUUGACAUGCUUCAUAUCUUCGAACAAACUCAGCUGCAUCUUUCCUUAUGGUGGACCAGUAGUACCUCUGUCGUUGAACUUUAUAGGUCGAUGAUUUGCCCCCCAAGUAAUUUUUGCAAAUCUCUUCAUGGACUUCUCAGAGAGCAUAAUCAGCUUUAGUAGAUCUCAAGCACUUAAGCAGUGGAAGAGAGAACAACCUUUUAUAUAAUUAUCUGUUCAUCAACACAUAUUGAGAAGCCAUCCACCUUAGUUGUUUGGCUUCCAAUGAAUCUCCUAGAAGGAUAUCGUCGGUUAAGUAUUGAAUGAUCGAAUCCAUCUAGCUUGGUUCAUCAUUUAUUUGAUGCACUUCAUCAACCUUGUCGAUACUCAAUUUUUUGAGAUAUUCGAUGAACAUUUGGCCA
This 627-nucleotide long non-coding RNA is filed under the name Elaeis guineensis (African oil palm). Its description in RNAcentral is "long non-coding RNA (EGUI_LNC018232)". The record is from RNAcentral. Lineage: Eukaryota; Viridiplantae; Streptophyta; Magnoliopsida; Arecales; Arecaceae.